GACAUCGUGGUCUCUUCCUCUUGAAAAAAAAGUUUGAGAUGGAGUCAAACCAACAUCGCAGCUGUUUCCAAGUCGGCGGCAAGUGCACCGAAACAUUGGUCCCUCUGAACGAGCUGAGACAGAAUAACCGCUUUUGUGACGCGAUGUUGAGGUUGGAUGACGGCGGCUUCGUUCGAGUCCACAGAGAGUUUCUGUCAAUGCGCAGCGCAUAUUUCAGAAACCUCUUCACGACAAUACUGCACACCAGUGAGAAGGCUGAUGUUGUCCUCCACGGAGUCAGCUCAGACAUAAUGACCG
This is a long non-coding RNA of Zootermopsis nevadensis, 297 nucleotides long. RefSeq lists it as uncharacterized. The record is from RefSeq and is a predicted model, not a curated record. Lineage: Eukaryota; Metazoa; Arthropoda; Insecta; Blattodea; Termopsidae.